Molecule: ribosomal RNA, 417 nt
Filed under: uncultured bacterium
Lineage: Bacteria
Description: partial 16S ribosomal RNA
Rfam family: Bacterial small subunit ribosomal RNA
Source: RNAcentral
UGGGGAAUAUUGCACAAUGGGCGCAAGCCUGAUGCAGCAACGCCGCGUGAGGGACGACGGCCUUCGGGUUGUAAACCUCUUUUAGUAGGGAAGAAGCGAAAGUGACGGUACCUGCAGAAAAAGCACCGGCUAACUACGUGCCAGCAGCCGCGGUAAUACGUAGGGUGCAAGCGUUGUCCGGAAUUAUUGGGCGUAAAGAGCUCGUAGGCGGUUUGUCGCGUCUGCUGUGAAAACCCGAGGCUCAACCUCGGGCCUGCAGUGGGUACGGGCAGACUAGAGUGCGGUAGGGGAGAAUGGAAUUCCUGGUGUAGCGGUGGAAUGCGCAGAUAUCAGGAGGAACACCGAUGGCGAAGGCAGUUCUCUGGGCCGUAACUGACGCUGAGGAGCGAAAGCGUGGGGAGCGAACAGGAUUAGAUA